This 396-nucleotide ribosomal RNA is filed under the name Streptomyces sp. SID11233. RNAcentral describes it as "partial 23S ribosomal RNA". It matches the Rfam family "Bacterial large subunit ribosomal RNA", at positions 2536 to 2925 of the family's 2925-position model. Lineage: Bacteria; Bacillati; Actinomycetota; Actinomycetes; Kitasatosporales; Streptomycetaceae. The record is from RNAcentral.
CUCGUCGCAUCCUGGGGCUGGAGUCGGUCCCAAGGGUUGGGCUGUUCGCCCAUUAAAGCGGUACGCGAGCUGGGUUUAGAACGUCGUGAGACAGUUCGGUCCCUAUCCGCUGUGCGCGUAGGAAUAUUGAGAAGGGCUGUCCCUAGUACGAGAGGACCGGGACGGACGAACCUCUGGUGUGCCAGUUGUCCUGCCAAGGGCAUGGCUGGUUGGCUACGUUCGGAAAGGAUAACCGCUGAAAGCAUCUAAGCGGGAAGCCUGCUUCGAGAUGAGUAUUCCCACCAACUUGAUUGGUUAAGGCUCCCAGUAGACGACUGGGUUGAUAGGCCAGAUGUGGAAGCCCGGUAACGGGUGGAGCUGACUGGUACUAAUAGGCCGAGGGCUUGUCCUCAGUUG